This 377-nucleotide ribosomal RNA is filed under the name uncultured eukaryote. RNAcentral describes it as "partial 18S ribosomal RNA". It matches the Rfam family "Eukaryotic small subunit ribosomal RNA", at positions 592 to 976 of the family's 1831-position model. The record is from RNAcentral.
CAAUAGCGUAUAUUUAAGUUGCUGCAGUUAAAAAGCUCGUAGUUGGAUUUCGGGUGGGAAUGGCCGGUCCGCCGUUUCGGUGUGCACUUGCUACGCCCACCUUGCUGCCGGGGACGUGCUCUUGAGUUCACGCUCGGGACACGGAGUCGGCGAGGUUACUUUGAGUAAAUUAGAGUGUUCAAAGCAGGCCUACGCUCUGAAUACAUUAGCAUGGAAUAACACGAUAGGACUCUGGCCUAUCUUGUUGGUCUGUAGGACCGGAGUAAUGAUUAAGAGGGACAGUCGGGGGCAUUCGUAUUUCAUUGUCAGAGGUGAAAUUCUUGGAUUUAUGAAAGACGAACUACUGCGAAAGCAUUUGCCAAGGAUGUUUUCAUGAA